Molecule: ribosomal RNA, 451 nt
Filed under: uncultured bacterium
Lineage: Bacteria
Description: bacterial SSU rRNA
Rfam family: Bacterial small subunit ribosomal RNA
Source: RNAcentral
GUGGGGAAUUUUGCGCAAUGGGCGAAAGCCUGACGCAGCAACGCCGCGUGGAGGAUGAAGGUUCUCUGAAUCGUAAACUCCUGUCGGCCGGGACGAAUGGACGGGAUGCUAAUCAGUUCCGUCUUGACUGUACCGGCAAAGGAAGCCCCGGCUAACUCCGUGCCAGCAGCCGCGGUAAUACGGAGGGGGCAAGCGUUACUCGGAAUUAUUGGGCGUAAAGGGCGCGUAGGCGGUCCCGCACGUCGGAGGUGAAAUCCCCGGGCUCAACCCGGGAGCUGCCUCCGAUACGGCGGGGCUUGAGUCCGGGAGAGGGGAGCAGAAUUCCCAGUGUAGCGGUGAAAUGCGUAGAUAUUGGGAGGAAUACCGGUGGCGAAGGCGGCUCCCUGGACCGGUACUGACGCUGAGGCGCGAAAGCGUGGGUAGCAAACAGGAUUAGAAACCCGAGUAGUCC